UGGAUUGCGGCGCUAUAAUGCAGUCGAGCGAAUGGAUUAAGAGCUUGCUCUUAUGAAGUUAGCGGCGGACGGGUGAGUAACACGUGGGUAACCUGCCCAUAAGACUGGGAUAACUCCGGGAAACCGGGGCUAAUACCGGAUAACAUUUUGAACCGCAUGGUUCGAAAUUGAAAGGCGGCUUCGGCUGUCACUUAUGGAUGGACCCGCGUCGCAUUAGCUAGUUGGUGAGGUAACGGCUCACCAAGGCAACGAUGCGUAGCCGACCUGAGAGGGUGAUCGGCCACACUGGGACUGAGACACGGCCCAGACUCCUACGGGAGGCAGCAGUAGGGAAUCUUCCGCAAUGGACGAAAGUCUGACGGAGCAACGCCGCGUGAGUGAUGAAGGCUUUCGGGUCGUAAAACUCUGUUGUUAGGGAAGAACAAGUGCUAGUUGAAUAAGCUGGCACCUUGACGGUACCUAACCAGAAAGCCACGGCUAACUACGUGCCAGCAGCCGCGGUAAUACGUAGGUGGCAAGCGUUAUCCGGAAUUAUUGGGCGUAAAGCGCGCGCAGGUGGUUUCUUAAGUCUGAUGUGAAAGCCCACGGCUCAACCGUGGAGGGUCAUUGGAAACUGGGAGACUUGAGUGCAGAAGAGGAAAGUGGAAUUCCAUGUGUAGCGGUGAAAUGCGUAGAGAUAUGGAGGAACACCAGUGGCGAAGGCGACUUUCUGGUCUGUAACUGACACUGAGGCGCGAAAGCGUGGGGAGCAUACAGGAUUAGAUACCCUGGUAGUCCACGCCGUAAACGAUGAGUGCUAAGUGUUAGAGGGUUUCCGCCCUUUAGCGCUGAAGUUAACGCAUUAAGCACUCCGCCUGGGGAGCACGGUCGCUAGGUUGAAACUCAAAGGAAUUGACGGGGGCCCGCACAAGCCUUGUAGCAUGCGUUUUAAUUCUAAGCAUCGCGUAUAACCUUACCAGGUUCUUGUCUACUUCUGGAUACCUUUUAAAUUCGGGUAUCUUCUU
Molecule: ribosomal RNA, 1004 nt
Filed under: Bacillus thuringiensis
Lineage: Bacteria; Bacillati; Bacillota; Bacilli; Caryophanales; Bacillaceae
Description: bacterial SSU rRNA
Rfam family: Bacterial small subunit ribosomal RNA
Source: RNAcentral